GGAAAGCAUACUCAUCCGGUGAUGUGGCCGGGCUUCAAACCCGGUGGAGGGCGUCAGACGUUCUCCCGUAGGUUCGACUCCUACUGUUUUCCGCCA
Molecule: transfer RNA, 96 nt
Filed under: Janthinobacterium sp. BJB304
Lineage: Bacteria; Pseudomonadati; Pseudomonadota; Betaproteobacteria; Burkholderiales; Oxalobacteraceae
Description: tRNA-Sec
Rfam family: Selenocysteine transfer RNA
Source: RNAcentral